Molecule: ribosomal RNA, 697 nt
Filed under: uncultured Alphaproteobacteria bacterium
Lineage: Bacteria; Pseudomonadati; Pseudomonadota; Alphaproteobacteria
Description: bacterial SSU rRNA
Rfam family: Bacterial small subunit ribosomal RNA
Source: RNAcentral
GAGCAAACAGGAUUAGAUACCUUGGUAGUCCAGGCCGUAAACGAUGAAUGCCAGAUGUUGGGGUGCUUGCACCUCAGUAGUGCAGCUAAAGCUUUGAGCAUUCCACAUGGGGAGGUACGGUCGCAAGAUUAAAACUCAAAGGAAUUGACGGGGGCCCGCACAAGCGGUGGAGCAUGUUGGUUUAAUUCGAAGCAACGCGCAGAACCUUACCAUCCUUUGACAUGGCGUGUUAUGGGGAGAGAUUACCAGUCCACUUCGGUGGCGCGCACACAGGUGCUGCAUGACUGUAGUCAGCUCGUGUCGUGAGAUGUUGGGUUAAGUCCCGCAACGAGCGCAACCCACGUCUUUAGUUGCCAUCAUUCAGUUGGGCACUCUAGGGAGACUGCCGGUGAUAAGCCGCGAGGAAGGUGUGGAUGACGUCAAGUCCUCAUGGCCCUUACGGGAUGGGCUACACACGUGCUACAAUGGCGGUGACAGUGGGACGCGAAGGGGCGACCUUGAGCAAAUCCCCAAAAACCGUCUCAGUUCGGAUUGCACUCUGCAACUCGGGUGCAUGAAGGCGGAAUCGCUAGUAAUUGUGGAUCAGCACGCCACAGUGAAUAAGUUCCCGGGCCUUGUACACACCGCGCCGUCACACCAUGGGAGUUGGUCUUACCCGACGGCGGUGCGCCAACCGCAAGGGGGCAGGCGACCACGG